RNAcentral lists this long non-coding RNA (673 nucleotides) under Gossypium barbadense (sea-island cotton). RNAcentral describes it as "long non-coding RNA (GBAR_LNC020164)". Lineage: Eukaryota; Viridiplantae; Streptophyta; Magnoliopsida; Malvales; Malvaceae. The record is from RNAcentral.
UUGGGUCUGGAUUACGGAAAUGGAAAAGACCCUUUCACUCAGUUCGACAACACCAAGGCCGGUUCCAAAGCCAAGAACCUUGAAAAAGGUAUGAUUUAUGCUUCUGGCUUUUCUUCAAAGUUUGGGUGCUUUUUUCUUUUUUCUUUUUGCGGAAAGCCAUGUUUUCCCAUUUGUUUCUUGCAUGUUAUUGAUUACAUGUCGGUUUAAGUGUUCUUGCAAUGGUCUUUUUCUACUUGCAUGAAUGGUCUUAAAAACUGAAGUAGUCUAGUUCAGAAAACAAGUUCUGCGCAUCCGUUUCAGUCGUUUUAUGUAAAAGAAAAUGGUAAAGUUUGUUGUUUUCCUUGUUUAAAGAAAUACAACAAAAAAGUGUUCAUGAAAGGAACCAAGUUUGUAUUUUUAAUGUUUUUUUAUAUCUUAAAUGUUAUGGUUUUUGUUUGGGGGUGGUUUUAGUGACAAACGAGUCGACUCAGAAGACAAGCCGGGGGAGAGAGAAAGAAGGGAAGACUCAGCGAACUCGAAAGAACAUUUACAGAGGAAUCAGGCGAAGGCCAUGGGGGAAAUGGGCGGCUGAGAUAAGAGAUCCUCACAAAGGUGUCCGAGUCUGGCUCGGUACAUACAACACGGCUGAAGAAGCGGCUCGAGCCUACGAUGAAGCCGCCAAGCGCAUCCGCGG